Molecule: non-coding RNA, 22 nt
Filed under: Arabidopsis thaliana (thale cress)
Lineage: Eukaryota; Viridiplantae; Streptophyta; Magnoliopsida; Brassicales; Brassicaceae
Source: RNAcentral
UGCUCAAAUGUCUGGUUGAGUG